Molecule: ribosomal RNA, 266 nt
Filed under: Salmonella enterica subsp. enterica serovar Mbandaka
Lineage: Bacteria; Pseudomonadati; Pseudomonadota; Gammaproteobacteria; Enterobacterales; Enterobacteriaceae
Also listed under: 1 other name
Description: partial 23S ribosomal RNA
Rfam family: Bacterial large subunit ribosomal RNA
Source: RNAcentral
GGCGAGGGGAGUGAAAAAGAACCUGAAACCGUGUACGUACAAGCAGUGGGAGCACCCUUCGGGGUGUGACUGCGUACCUUUUGUAUAAUGGGUCAGCGACUUAUAUUCUGUAGCAAGGUUAACCGAAUAGGGGAGCCGGAGGGAAACCGAGUCUUAACCGGGCGUUAAGUUGCAGGGUAUAGACCCGAAACCCGGUGAUCUAGCCAUGGGCAGGUUGAAGGUUGGGUAACACUAACUGGAGGACCGAACCGACUAAUGUUGAAAAA